AAAAAAGGAGUUUAGAACUUAACUCCCUUUUCUCCAUUUCGCUUCUAUUGUUUGUUUGUUUGUAACCAAUGGUUGUGUAAAGGCGGUUAGAUGAUACUUCGUCAGAUGAUUGUACAAGGAAGGCGAUAGUUUUAUAGAAAAGAAAGAAUGGAAAAGAAUGAUAAAUAAAAAAAAAGUAAAGUAAAGAAAUUAUCGAUUGGAUCAGGCCCUUUGUGUUUUCUCCUUCAAAAUAGAUCGCUUGCCAAUUAUGCAUGGUUAGGUUCAUGAGGGCCUCUGAAAGAGGCACCCUAAUAUGGGACGGGACGAGCGAUACACGGGCCAUGUAGCUAAGGGGGCUAGGCAGACCACCAAAAGUAACGACCACCAAGAGUCAUCGUCUUUCCUUUCUUCUAUCGUAUCUGUCAAAGACACUGGCGUUUUUUUAGCUAUGCAUCACAC
RNAcentral lists this unclassified non-coding RNA (438 nucleotides) under Hevea brasiliensis (rubber tree). Lineage: Eukaryota; Viridiplantae; Streptophyta; Magnoliopsida; Malpighiales; Euphorbiaceae. The record is from RNAcentral.